RNAcentral lists this ribosomal RNA (467 nucleotides) under uncultured bacterium. Its description in RNAcentral is "bacterial SSU rRNA". It matches the Rfam family "Bacterial small subunit ribosomal RNA", at positions 28 to 508 of the family's 1533-position model. The record is from RNAcentral.
GAUGAACGCUGGCGGCGUGCUUAACACAUGCAAGUCGAACGAUGAAGCCCAGCUUGCUGGGUGGAUUAGUGGCGAACGGGUGAGUAACACGUGAGUAACCUGCCCUUGACUCUGGGAUAAGCCUGGGAAACUGGGUCUAAUACUGGAUAUGACUUCUCACCGCAUGGUGGGGGGUGGAAAGAUUUAUUGGUCUUGGAUGGACUCGCGGCCUAUCAGCUUGUUGGUGAGGUAAUGGCUCACCAAGGCGACGACGGGUAGCCGGCCUGAGAGGGUGACCGGCCACACUGGGACUGAGACACGGCCCAGACUCCUACGGGAGGCAGCAGUGGGGAAUAUUGCACAAUGGGCGCAAGCCUGAUGCAGCGACGCCGCGUGAGGGAUGACGGCCUUCGGGUUGUAAACCUCUUUCAGUAGGGAAGAAGCGAAAGUGACGGUACCUGCAGAAGAAGCGCCGGCUAACUACGUGC